RNAcentral lists this ribosomal RNA (494 nucleotides) under uncultured bacterium. Its description in RNAcentral is "partial 16S ribosomal RNA". It matches the Rfam family "Bacterial small subunit ribosomal RNA", at positions 28 to 507 of the family's 1533-position model. The record is from RNAcentral.
GACGAACGCUGGCGGCGUGCUUAACACAUGCAAGUCGAACGGUGAAGCGCCUUCCUUUUUGGUGGGUGGGGUGGCGAGGCGAACGGGUGAGUAACACGAGAGUAACCUGCCCCCUUGUUCUGGAUCACGGCAUGAAGGUGUGGCUAAUACGGGAUAUUCUGGGUCUGUCGCAUGAUGGGUCUGGGAAGGAUGUUGGUUCGGUGGGGGAGGGGCUCGCGGCCUAUCAGCUUGUUGGGGGGGUGAUGGCCUACCACGGCGGGGACGGGUGGCCGGCCUGGGAGGGUAGACGGUCUGACUGGGUCAGAGGCCCCGUCGGGACUCCUACGGGAGGCAGCAGUGGGGAGGAGGGCACAGUGGGCGAAAGUCUGAUGCGGCGGCGCCGCGUGUGGGAUGGAGCCCUUCGGGUUGUGAACCUCUUUCGCCAGUAAAGCGGGCCUGCCUCGUAUGUGGGUGGGUUGACGGUAGCUGGAAAAGAAGCGCCGGCUAACUACGUG